This 6828-nucleotide long non-coding RNA is filed under the name Citrus sinensis (sweet orange). RNAcentral's name for it is "long non-coding RNA (CSIN_LNC000379)". The record is from RNAcentral. Lineage: Eukaryota; Viridiplantae; Streptophyta; Magnoliopsida; Sapindales; Rutaceae.
GAAUUCCAGCACCGGUUAUGAUUCCCAUGAGGAAAUCUGGCACUAUGCUUGCAACAAUCAUCAUUAAGCUCUCAACCAACAUCAUGGAUACAAAAAGCCCCAAAACAAAGUAUAGAAAAUGUCCAAUAUUCUUUUGAAGGCCAGUUAGGUAGUAUGCUAUUGCUCCAGGAAUCAAAGAUAUCAGGAGUAAGUAAGGGGUAGAAGAGAAUGAGUUACUAAGAACAAAUGAGGCAACACCAUAAUGCCCAUUUAACCUUUCUCGCCCAAAUAUCUAAAGGAAGUAAAAAAAUGUCAAUUAAAAUGUGUCACAUGUGGCUAAAAGUAAUUAGACUAUUGAAAGUUACAAACCUUCAUGUCCUCCACGAAAGAAGGGAAUCCACCGAUGGCCAUGAAAGUCAAAAAUGCUGCAAUAAACAUGAGCAUGGAUCCCCUGGCCUAAUAUUCAUGAUAUAAAUGAUUAUGUAAAGAUCUCGUUGAAUUGUACAAUAGUACAAGUUCUAUUUUGAGCCUUCACCAAAGUUACCUGAAUUGACCCAUAACUGGAUCCAAUAUCGUGGAAAAUAGUCCCUAUGCAUAAACCCAAGGCGACGUAGAUUACAAAGCGAAGCCAAUAAUAUCCUAAAUCGCGAUACAUGUUAACAAACGAUCUCUUUGUAAGAACGAGGCUCUGAGUGAUGAAGCUAGCUUGGUUUCCCUUUUCUAAAGUUCCUCCUUUCUGCAUGCACAACAAAUUUAGUAAAUUAACCUUGCUGCUAAAGUUAAUUAAUUCAAAUUUGAUAAACAUGUGUGUGUACCUGUUGGCAUAUUAUGGAAACAUGUUCUUUAACUUCCUUGUAAGUGUCGGAUGAUUUGUAUGAGUUGACUAGAAUGUUGAUAACCUCUUCAGUACUUGUUCUUCCAGUUCCUUCUUCAAUGUUCUAUUUUACACAAACGUUGGUUGAAUUAAAUUAUAUAUAUAUAUAUUUCAUACCAUUCGUUAAUUUCUUAGAUAAUCACUUACUUCUUCGAAGUCCUUAUUGAUAAUUCUUAGAUAGUGGUCAGAUGGAUUUCUCAAACUUGGGCAAGGAAAGCCAUUUGAAGCAAAUAAUUGUUCUGCCAUUGAAGAAGGACCAAAAUAAAUUGUCUUCCCAUAAGCAAGAAGGCAGAGAUUUUGAAAGAGCUCAAAAACAUCACUAUUAGGUUGAUGAAUCGAUGCGAGAACAGUUCUUCCAUCUUCGCGAGCAAGAUUAACAAUACGCUUCAUGACAUGGUAAGAUGCAGCACUGUCAAGCCCACUAGUAGGCUCAUCGAGGAACAAAAGCUUUGGGCGUGUUAAGAUCUCAAUGCAAAUACUAACCCUUCUCUUUUGUCCACUGCUAAUUCCUCUUACGUUCCAUCCUCCUAUUCUAGUGUCCAUGGCAUCUUGUAAUCCCAUUUCUCUAAUAGUCAUUUCAGCUCUUUCCUUCUUCUCUGAUCUUGACAUAGAAUCUGGCAGCUGCAGUUGUGCAGAAUAGUAUAUAGCUUCCAUUACUGUUAAUGUUGUCAUCAGAAUAUCUUCUUGAGUCACAUAGGCCUAAAUAAUUUUAAAAAUAAUAAUAAGUAAAUUAUUUAAGAUGUGUCUUUAAAACAUUCAAUAACAUAUUACUAUUUUAGGUGAAAGUAUAAUGAAUAUUAAUACAAUAAUAUUAUUUCACUUUUUUCUAACCGAAGUUCCGAAGGCAAGCAUCUCUUUGCGACCAUUGAUUAGAAUCUCCCCAGUCUGCUGAGUGUUUGCACUUAACCUUCCUACAAUGUAGUGUGUGUCUUAGUACGUAGCUAAGUAAUUUUAUUUUUUAUUUUUUAGGGAAAACUUGAAAAAGAAAUGAUCUUCUCAGUUUAAUUUUAAGUUAAAAAUUUGUAAUAAUACCUGCCAGUGCAUCAAGAAGUGUAGACUUGCCACAACCAGAAGGACCCAUGAUGGCUAAUAUCUGGCCUGGUUCAACAUACCCGGUCAGCUCUUGCAAAAUUGCACGUUUUCCAUUUUCUUUUUUACCACUUGGAACUACAACCGAAAGAUCCUUCCACGUUAAAAAAAUGCCAUUAUCAAACUUUGAUUUCAAGGAGCUAGCAACAUAAUCAUUACGUGAAACAGAGCUUGAUAAUGCAGUGCUAAAUGGGAAAAUUUUGUUCUUGCUGGAUCUAGAAGAUGAUGAAGCCCAACUUUGCACCUCUAAGCCGUCAUUUUUUGCACUAAUUGAUCUUGACACAUUGAUUGGAGAAUCCAUGUUAAGCUUCGUAUGUGAAUUGACGCCUUUGAGGAAAAAAAGAGACCAAAAAUUUUUUUUUUUGAAUAUCUUGAGACUCAGAAUUAAAGCCUUUGACUUUUAUAUAAAGAACUUUGUUUCAUUUAUAGUCUUAAAAGGUUUAGGAAAUUUUGGGAUUUCAUACAUCACUUCAAAAGUCAAAUUUGGAUUAUAUUUGACUCUUAUAUAAAGAACUUUGUUUCAUUUAUAGUCUUAAAAGGUUUAGGAAAUUUUGGGAUUUCAUACAUCACUUCAAAAGUCAAAUUUGGAUUAUAUUUGACUCUUAUAUAAAGAACUUUGUAUAUAUAUAUAUAUAUAUAUUGUAUAAUUUUGUUCAUUUUUGACUUAAGAGUGUGGUUUUUUAUUAGUUUUAACUUUUAGUAAUUAACAUUAUUUUUAUCUUCUAGUCAAAGUUUGCAUGCAUAUUCUAAACACAUCUUUUUUUCUUUCUUUUUUUUUAGCAGUGAUACACACACCCUACUUGUGAAAUCUCGCCGAAGGAAAAAAAAAUUUAAGAAACAAGUAAUGAAAGAUAAAAUUUGCCUAGGUGGGGUUCAAGUAAGAUUCAUUAAUGUGACAAGUAUUUGACGCAACGGGAUAGCGAAAGCGGAUUGACAUGCUAGAUAAAUGCUAGAUAUCGUUCUAGCAACAAUCCAAGCAAACGUAAUUACGCUACACUCUAAUCGAAACAUAAUUAGAUCUCAUUUUGAUUUAAAUGACUCAAUGAGAUUUUGAUAACACUUUAAGCGAUAUUAGAUAAUGCUCUAAUUUAAAUGACUAUAUAAGAGAGAUUUUGAUAGAUAAUCCCAACGAAAAUUAUAAAAGUGAGGUUUUAAUUGAAUAACUGAAUUUAAUUAACAAUGACAAAACAUCCUUAUUUAUAAAAGGAUAAAUCUACUUCCUCACAUUAAGUUAAAUGAAAAAUUAAAUCACAAUUAUAAUACGAAUAAACAAAUAAAAUAUAUAUCAUAAUUGACUCUAAUUAAAAAUAAAAAAUAUCAAAAGAUCUAAAAUAACAAAUCUCUAAAAUUCUAAAAUAAUGUUCUACAUUAUAAAAGGAUCAUAGUUCUAACAUAUAGAUGAAUAACAAAGAAAGAAAUACUAACAAAUGGAUUACAAAUUUAACACAGAAACUAGCAAGUUGCUUAAGUAGAUACAAAUGGAAAGUGAACGACCAACAUCUUUUCAAAUAAAACUUGAAAAAUUAAUUCCAAAACAGUAUAAUAGUUACCAACAAUGCAUGAUAAACAAGUACAAAAAAAGCAUAAAUUAAAUGCAAAUGACAAGCAUUAAUUAUUGUUUAAUACGCAAGUACGGAAGAUCGCAAAAGUACAUAGUAAAAAAAGUUUUAUUCACUUGUUAAUAAUCUGAAUGCAAAAAACGAAGAGGUAAAAAUAAUUCCAUACAAAGGGUAAAAAAAUUUUAGAAUUUCUAGCAAAAUGCAUUGGUCCUAUAGCAGAUGAUGCGACAUUAACAUGUUAGUAUGGAAAAAUAAUUUUUUAAAAAUGCAUAUGCAUACUGAAAUCAAAUAAGACAUUAGGCUAUUUGCAUUAUAAAAUAUAUUUUGGACACUCUUUUACUUUGCACACUUUUUGAUAAAUUCAAAAACUUAACUUUUACUUUACACACUCUCAUAAAUACCAAAAUAGACCUCAAUUAAAUUCGUAGUGUUAAUUUAUUAUUUUCUCGAUAUGAACACAUAUAUUUAAUACCCAAAUUAAGAUUUAAAAAUAAUAAAUAGUCAAUGAUAAUUUUUCUAUUCAAUUAACAAGGAUUGGCAAGAUGAACGUAUUAGAAUCAGUUUACCCAUGGAGAUGAGUGAAUGAAGAACUAAAAAUAGUGGUAUCAGUAAUCAUUUGUUUUGAAACUCAUAUUUGAUAUUGAAGCAAUGUAAGAUUUAGUGGUUGGUGAGUCCUUAAGUCCUUAUUACAAUCUGACAACAACUGAAUCAAUAGACCAUACAAUCAGGAUUCCAUGGAGCUUGUAGUAACAUAAAAAGAAUUAAAAAUUACAGCAUCGUGAGGCAUAUCAUAAACUUAUGUUGAACAAGUUAUCCAUUCUUUUACAGAAUAAAAACUUUAAGCAAUCAUUGAUCAACAAAACCUCACCGACUAAUGCAAAAGAUUUUAGUUUCAGGAAACUCAAAAGAGAUAGAAGGAACAACCAAAAAAUAGUUUAAAGAAAUAAAAACCUUGAGCAACCCCCAUCUCCUUCUUGACUAUAGCCUAAAUCUCACGAAGAGCGGCAACUUCCUUCUCCUUCCCCUUCAACCACUUAUUCAUCUCAUCCAGUUCCUACAAAUACAUAAAUAAAACAAAUAGAUCUAUCGAAUAGCUAGGGUUUUAAUCAACCAAUUGAUCAUAUGACAGAAAAAUUUUAAGAAGUACCUUAACGAUGUUGUCAUCGGCAGCCAAUAUGUCACAUUUCAUGUUAGAGAUUUCGCUUCCGUAAAGCUCGUGUUUUUCUUCAUUUUCUCUCUUGUGUUACUAGUAACCAAAAGAGUUUUGGUGUGGUUUAUAUAAGAGUGAUUAAAUUAUAUGCAGUUUUAUACGCAAAUAGCAUUACUAAAAACAGACGCAACACAAAUGAAACAACAAAAUAUUCCAAACUCUACACCUCAUCCAUAAUGAUAUUUUGAAAAUUAAUUCAACCACUUAAUUAUCCUAAAUACACGAACUCAUCAAUUUUCCUAUCAUUCAAAUUUUUUGACAUAUGAAAUCAAAUGCAUAAAACACUAUCUCGCACUGUCAAGCGCAGUACGUGACCUACCAGAAAGCACACCCCCAAACAUGUGUGCGGUGUGGCGGGGCUCUCUGAGUUGGUGGCUCGACCGAUGGCUUUAGUGGCGUGUACAUGAUGUAUAGGUUCAGAGUUAGACGCUUCCGUAACUAAAUUAAAUGAUGGGGAGUGAACGCUUCUAUUGGUGUUUUAGACGACAUAACUUCAACUAGUGCAUCCAACUUAUUUGAACUUGGGACUACAGAGCUUGAGAUUGUGGUUGUCGAUGGGUAAAAUUAGGCUUAUUUUUCAUUACUCCAAAUGUUUCAACAAAUUUUGCCCUGCACCCAAUUGUCCCGACAACUAUCACCAUUACACCCAUCCGGUGAGAUAUUAGUAUAUUAUCGUCAAGUUUGUUGAUGUUGCCCCUCUUAUAAAUUUCAAAGUCUUAAAAUAUGUUUAUUUAUAAAAUUGAAAGAUAAAAGUGAGGAAUAAGAAUUAUUAACAGUAUUUAUUUAUUAAAAAAUAGAAAUAAAAUUAGAGUAGUCCUUAUAAAUUUAGAGAUGAUGAAUGAGAAUCUCAUUUUCAUGAGAGGUGAGAAUGUGGAUAAGGAGUGAUUAACAUUAUUAUCCUUAAUAAAAUUUAAAAAUGUUUUUUUAACAAUAAUAAGAAUAUUAUUAUUGUUGUUGUUGUUGUUGUUAUUAACAAUAAUUAUUUUGAGUAAAAAUAAUAAUUAUUUCUAUGAUAAAUAAUGAUAAUAAUCAACUAAGGUUAUUUUUAUAAUUUACAACAAUUUAUUUCGAUUCCAAAAUAAAAUAAAUACAAUUAAAGUAAACAACUUUAUCUUAUUCUUAGUAAACACAUUACUGCUUAUGUAGUCCAUUCCGAUCUUAUUCCGAUCUUAUUUCUCAUUAUGAUUUUAAGUUCAUUCUAAUUCCAUUAUAUUCUUAUUCCACCUUAUUUCAAUUACUUAUUGGUAAAUGUACCAUUAAAUUUACUAAAAUUCCUCGACACCAGACAUUAUCUCAAAUUAAUUUAUUAAUUUAUUUAUUACAACGACACCAACAAUAUUGGUUCUUUCUAUACAACUAUAUAAUGUCACAAAACAUGGCAAAGCUAUUUCAUACAUUUAUUUUUCUGUUCAAGCAAAUUGUGCUAGAGUGGCAGAGGGAUUAUCCUACAUCUGUCUACAAGGCUUAAAAGAAACAAACCCCAAAAGAUUUGAUAAUAGGUUUAAAUUUCUCAGUAGUUUUAAUAAUUGCCCAAAACAAAAAUCGAUAAAAAAAUAGCAUUCCGAGUAAGAUAACAAGAUCAAUCCACUUGGAGUGUCCUAUGUCAACUUGCCAAACACUUGUGAGGACUUCUUUACCAGUGAUUAUUGGUGGCCCUUUAGCUUGAUUAUUUGGGAAAGUUAAUCCUUCAAACUCAUUUUUGUAGAAUCCUUGAUAUAAAUACCUGUGAAACACAAAAUAGUACAUAGGAUAUUUUCAAACUGGCUUUGGAAGAUCGUUUGGCAAUCUGAAGAAACCUCCAUUCAGCAUCAUAAUUCCUUGAAUUCCAGCACCGGUUAUGAUUCCCAUGAGGAAAUCUGGCACUAUGCUUGCAACAAUCAUCAUUAAGCUCUCAACCAACAUCAUGGAUACAAAAAGCCCCAAAACAAAGUAUAGAAAAUGUCCAAUAUUCUUUUGAAGGCCAGUUAGGUAGUAUGCUAUUGCUCCAGGAAUCAAAGAUAUCAGGAGUAAGUAAGGGGUAGAAGAAAAUGAGUUGCUAAGAACAAAUGAGGCAACACCAUAAUGCCCAUUUAACCUUUCUCGCUCAAAUAUCUAAAGGAAGUAAAAAAUGUCAAUUA